GACGAACGCUGGCGGCGUGCUUAACACAGAAUGAAGAAACGAGUGGCGAACGGGUGAGUAACGCGUAAUCAACCUGCCCUUCAGAGGGGAACAACAGUUGGAAACGAAUGCUAAUACCUAAUACUGUGAGAGAGCUUUGCGUCCAAUUAGCUAGUUGGAGAGGUAACGGCUCACCAAGGCGAGGAUGGGUAGCCGGCCUGAGAGGGUGAACGGGCACAAGGGGACUGGGACACGGCCCGUACUCAUAAGGGAGGCAGCAGUGGGGAAUAUUGGACGACGGACCAAAGUAUGAUCAAGGAAUUCUGUGUGCACGAUGAAGUUUUCGGAAUGUAAAGUGCUUUGAGUUGGGAAGCGGUACCAACAGAAGAAGUGACGGCUAAAUACGUGCCAGCAGCCGCGGUAAUAC
Molecule: ribosomal RNA, 406 nt
Filed under: uncultured bacterium
Lineage: Bacteria
Description: partial 16S ribosomal RNA
Rfam family: Bacterial small subunit ribosomal RNA
Source: RNAcentral